GAUGAACGCUGGCGGCGUGCCUAAUACAUGCAAGUCGAGCGAACGGACGAGAAGCUUGCUCCUCUGAUGUUAGCGGCGGACGGGUGAGUAACACGUGGAUAACCUACCUAUAAGACUGGGAUAACUUCGGGAAACCGGAGCUAAUACCGGAUAAUAUUUUGAACCGCAUGGUUCAAAAGUGAAAGACGGUCUUGCUGUCACUUAUAGAUGGAUCCGCGCUGCAUUAGCUAGUUGGUAAGGUAACGGCUUACCAAGGCAACGAUGCAUAGCCGACCUGUGAGGGUGAUCGUCCACACUGGAACUGAGACACGGUCCAGACUCCUACGGGAGGCAGCAGUAGGGAAUCUUCCGCAAUGGGCGAAAGCCUGACGGAGCAACGCCGCGUGAGUGAUGAAGGUCUUCGGAUCGUAAAACUCUGUUAUUAGGGAAGAACAUAUGUGUAAGUAACUGUGCACAUCUUGACGGUACCUAAUCAGAAAGCCACGGCUAACUACGUG
RNAcentral lists this ribosomal RNA (497 nucleotides) under uncultured bacterium. RNAcentral describes it as "partial 16S ribosomal RNA". It matches the Rfam family "Bacterial small subunit ribosomal RNA", at positions 28 to 507 of the family's 1533-position model. The record is from RNAcentral.